This 2078-nucleotide long non-coding RNA is filed under the name Sus scrofa (pig). RNAcentral describes it as "lncRNA (ENSSSCG00045023633.1)". The record is from RNAcentral. Lineage: Eukaryota; Metazoa; Chordata; Mammalia; Artiodactyla; Suidae.
AUGGGGAGCACGAAGCGAGGCCUGGGGCGGGGCUUGGUCCUGGCGACGGGCUUGGAUUGGCGCGCUGCGGAUCUCCCUGCUGCCUUACAAGGCGGUGCGAGGCGAGCUAUUUUUAGAGGGCUAUAUAAGGGGGCUGAGGCUGCCGCCGGGCUGCCGGGUAACACGAGCGCGAGGGACGGGGAGGGUCGCGGCGACACUUGCGCUGGCUCCGGGGACGCCGAGGCGGCCGGGAUCGGGCUGCACGCCGGCCUCCGACCCUCGCUUUGGUGCCUAGCGGAGCCAGGGCGUUCGGAGCCGGUUCCCCUGAGAAGGGAAAGGGUCGCAUGUUGCCGUUCUGGCGUGGACGCGGCCGGUCAGGAGUCUUACUAUAGUGGAACAAAGUAUGAACUUGGGAAGCAGCCUGUUUGUAUCAGAGAAAAACAAGAAUGCCAAAGAGAUGGAGACUGGUAACAAGACUCUGAGAGACAGUUUGAACCUGGAAGAAGAUGCUGCGUCCUAUUGUGAUCUCUUUUGGAAUUCUUUGGGAAGUCAAAGAAGUCUGAGAGCAGUGGCUGUUGUGUCUCCAGAUACUGUAAGUAUGAAAGAAAGUACUGGGGAGAGGGCAAGGUGUAGUUACCAAAGAAUCAGGCAGGAUGCCCUCCAAAUGGGACAGAGACUAGAACAAGGCAGAAAAAUUGAAGCAGGCACUCACUCUCAGCACUGGGCAAUGUAAGGUCAGCAUGUCUUAACGUUAGCCCUGGGUGUUUCUUCUGCCUCACCCUUGUCCAGCCCUGCCUUCAGGUAAGAAUGACCUCUAAUGAACACUCUGUUUGUUUGUUUGUUUGUUUUGGGCCACACCUGUGGCAUCCAGGAUUCCAGGGCCAGGAAUGGAACCUGUACCACAGCAGCAACCUGAGCCACAGUAGUGACAGAUGAUGCCAGAUCCUUAACCCGCUGCACCACCAGGGAACUCCUCUAAUGGACACUCUUAUCUCCUCAAAUUCACUUCUGUUGCUAUAUGCCUGCUUUUCGGUUCUGACCUGUAUAUUUUAUUAAUUUUACUUGAAGAGCUAUAAUUUUAACCAUAAUCCUGAUGAAAACACAAUCACAGAAAAAAGAUAUUUUCUAUUCUUCAUACCCAGGCAUUUAAUUUUUUACAAUGUUAACUCCAAAUUAGUGAGGACCUAUGUGCCUAAAGUUAGAGAUAUUUUACAUAUAUUAUGUUUAACAUGCACUAAGAAAUUCUUUAGUCUAUGCAUCUGUAGCCCACUUAGCAGAUGAGUCCCAGAGAGAGUAAAGGACUGGUCCCCAACCUGAAAGAAGACAGGGCCACUCCCACAAGAGUGCCACAUCUGCCCUCACUUCCCGUACUCACUUCAGGCCUUAAAAUCCCUGAUUUUCUUGUUUUAAUUCCCUUAAUCACUACAAAUUCUGCCUCUUCAUCUCCAAGUCAGGUUUUUCUUACUUGAUUAUAAGAUUUUACUAUUGCUUUGCUUUUGUGGUUUCUUCCUCUUUCCCAGCUUAAAAAAAAAAAAAAAAAAAAAAAAAUUCAUUGAGUUUCAGAGUAGAUCAGUAUGUCAAGUUUUCUCAAAACAUUCUUUAAAGUCAUUUUCUGACUUAAAUGUCUAGAGGGCAGAGCUAAAUGGGGCCACCAGGUAAGAAAGCAGGACGGCUCCACACACUUACAGAGGCUGAGGAAGGAGAAAUGGAAAGGAAAAAUCUUAUUAGGCUUUGUAGGUCAGGGAAAUCCUUUCUAGCCUGGAUUUUUAAACCUUCUGAAUUUUAAUUGAAAGUAUUUCCCCAGAGUAUUUACUUUAACAUGACUGUGCACUCUCAAAAUAUAUAUAUAUAUUCCCUAUCCAUAUUAGAAAUAUAUUACAAAUUCCAGGAAGACAAGAUUGCAUUACAAGGGAGAAUUCAAUGAUGUACCCUUUCUGCUUCGGACAGUAGUCAUGACAUUGCUGGCAACUACAGAAAUUUCCAGACUUCUACUGAGCAUCUCUGCUGGGAAAAAUCUAAUGCUUGUGGGUAAGAUAUAUGACUAUCUGGUCCCACCUAGGAAUCACCAUUAGUUUUUUGUUUUGUUUUAGGUGGUUUUU